This 72-nucleotide transfer RNA is filed under the name Candidatus Pacearchaeota archaeon. Its description in RNAcentral is "tRNA-Ala". It matches the Rfam family "tRNA". From Rfam's summary of the family: Transfer RNA (tRNA) molecules are approximately 80 nucleotides in length. Their secondary structure includes four short double-helical elements and three loops (D, anti-codon, and T loops). Further hydrogen bonds mediate the characteristic L-shaped molecular structure. tRNAs have two regions of fundamental functional importance: the anti-codon, which is responsible for specific mRNA codon recognition, and the 3' end, to which the tRNAs corresponding amino acid is attached (by aminoacyl-tRNA synthetases). tRNAs cope with the degeneracy of the genetic code in two manners: having more than one tRNA (with a specific anti-codon) for a particular amino acid; and 'wobble' base-pairing, i.e. permitting non-standard base-pairing at the 3rd anti-codon position. Lineage: Archaea; Nanobdellati. The record is from RNAcentral.
GGGCUCAUAGUAUAAUGGUUAUUAUGCACCGCUGGCAGCGAUGAGAUUCGGGUUCGAUUCCCGAUGGGUCCA